This 213-nucleotide unclassified non-coding RNA is filed under the name plant metagenome. Its description in RNAcentral is "partial contains small subunit ribosomal RNA, internal transcribed spacer 1, and 5.8S ribosomal RNA". The record is from RNAcentral.
UUUCCGUAGGUGAACCUGCGGAAGGAUCAUUCAUAAUAAGUGUUUUAUGGCACUUUUUUAAAUCCAUAUCCACCUUGUGUGCAAUGUCAGGGUUGAUUUUUCUCUCGAGAGGAUCAACCCCAAACAUCAACUAUAUCUCAACUCUUUGUCUGAAAGAUAUUAUGAAUAAAACAAUUCAAAAUACAACUUUCAACAACGGAUCUCUUGGCUCCC